CACAAAAUACUGAGGACCUUUCGUAGAAUUAGUCUGAGUUCUGUCCUCAUUGUAUUACUGUGUCAUCUGAUCUUAAAAUUGCCAUAGAGCUGAGGAUCAUGUAGUCUUAGGGCUUAUCUGUGGAUUGGAAGAACCCAUCUUUCCAGGUUCCAGAACUUUAGAAAAGUAUAUAUAGAGAUUCCUGGGCAUGGGGGCAGGAAUUUAUUACGUGGAAAAGUCCCAGUCAAUGCAAGAAUCCCCAACCUCCCCUUUGCUAGAAGCUAGAAGUCUGGUGACGGCUAUCUGUGCCGACCCACUUCAGGCAGAUUCCUCAUGUCCAUCCUGGUCGUAACCGUGUGUGUGCAUCUCUGUUACAGACACCCCACCCCCACCACUGUGAGCUCCUGGAGAGCCGGAGAGGGCCUUCCUUCUCUUUCUCCCCAGUGCCCAGCUGGGUACCUGGCCCAGAAUGGGGGCUUGAUAAAUGAUUGAAUAAGGUCCUAGUGUUGUGUGUCAUCUCGUCAAGCCCAGAAGAUAGCUUAUCUUUUAAUCUUUUUAUCUUCAGGGCCAAGUUCAAUGCCUGGCACAUACUUGGUGCUCAAUAAUGUUAGAAAAAAAAUGAGCUUGUAAUUACCAGCUCUUUAAAAGCUUCUUUACUGUAGCUGAGUACUGUUUCCACAUCCUGCCCAUGGCUUCUGCUUCCCGUAUUCAUUCACUCUAACGUAGAUUCCUGAAUGUCUACUGCCCUGAAUGAGGUGCUUCGUGCACACAGGGACAUGGCCUUCAUUUGGUCUGAUUUUCUGAGUCUCUCAAACUGCUGCUGCAGGGUCCCUGGAGACAGCUCGUUUCUCCUGGAAGAAUCGCCAAAGUCAGCUUCAGCAGCUCACAAACGUCUUCAUUGCUCUGAGCACAGCGCUAGGCAUAGAAUUGGAUUCAGCUGAUACUUGCCACCUGGCUUAGAGAACAAGGACUCCAGCUCCAGCCCCAGCUGCGGCACCUGCUAGUUCUGUGACCUAGGUUUCUUUGCUGGGAAGGCAGAGGAAGCCAGGAGAGGCCCAUCAGAAUGGACUUCACCACUUCAUCGGCCCAGGUCGCGAUGCGGAAGCACCGAGAAUCAUCGGAGCUGGAAAGUAUAGUCCAGUGGUGUGCUAGGAAAGAAGGGGAGAAGGCCUUUUGGCCUCUGCCACGUCUCUUGACUUGGACACCUUCCCACUGCUGCUGACAGCAAUCAGACACCUGCUCCCUGAGCCCAUGGCAGCCAGCAUGCCUCUUCUACAGCACUCGCCACCCUCUCUCAGGAGGGCUGUGACGGGCCAAGUCACACCCGCAGCACAGUGACACUGCCUGUUUCAAAACUGACAGCGAGCGUGGAACGUCACCUCACCUCUGAGUGAGCCCAGGAAGCGACAACUCUCCGUGGCCAGGAAUCUCAGCUCCUCAGAUUCCGUGGAAAGGAGUAGCGAGCUGGUCCUAAAGGAGGAAGAGGAAAUGGAAACGAGCUAAACUGUCAGCUGCCUAUUCCCUGCAGGUAGAAGGGCUUACGAGCUCUCCUCCUGGAGCCUCACCACCGGGCCCCAGACCACCUGGGGCUCUGGAACGUUCCGUUCUUUUGGUGCAGAGCUGCGCAGGGUGCAUCUGGACUGAACUGUUUCCACCAGCUGUGGCGAGAGAAGGACAAACACUGACAGUGUUUAAAAACUGAUGUUGCUGUGACAUCCAAGCACAUAUGGUGUUUUAUCAUUUUUUUCCCAUUUCACUUUUCUAUUGUCAGUCUGUGAUGGACCAAGAAAAAAUAAAAACCAACCAGUCCUUCAUCACAGAUGGUUCGAGAAGCAUCAGUAUGGUAGCUAUGGAGUCAGAAAAGCUGGGCUUUAUGGCAGCUCCAUCUCUUGCUAGCUGGUUGACCGUAAUUAAAUUGCAUCAUCUCUCUGUGCCUUGGUGCCUUCACCUAUGAAAUGGGCAUAACAGUGCCCACCUGUGACGGCUGUGGGAUGUCAGUGAGGGAACACGGAUAAAGCACCCAGGGCGGUGAGUGUUGCAAAAGCGUUGAUUCUCAUUAUUACUACUGCUGGUAUCCGACAUGACUCAUUCAUUCGAUCGACAAAUAUUUACUGAGAGCCUGGUAUGUGCUAGCUCUUCUAGGAAUGGGGGAUUAAGAAAAGUG
Equus caballus (horse) is the source of this 2143-nucleotide long non-coding RNA. Lineage: Eukaryota; Metazoa; Chordata; Mammalia; Perissodactyla; Equidae. The record is from Ensembl.